AAACUGCCACACCUCACGAGCGAGAAAAUGGCAGAGUUCAACCCAUCAACUGGAGGCAAGAAAAUUGAAAACAUGGGGACAAAUUGUGUCUGGCGAAGAGAAUGAUUUCCAAUCAACCCCUUUGUGACAACUGACCACAGAAUUUCGUUUUCCAUCUUACCUGAAUUCACCUGAAGUGCCCGUCCCCAAUGCUGACGAAGCCAUACAAGGGGCGUCCUGUGUGCAUGCUGGGGCACACGGACUCUUUCGGUACCUCUCCUCCUGCGCUGUAUCCACACAUCUAAGCCACCACCAGUGGAGCCUGGAAGCCCAGGAAACAGAAUCUUCAUCUUGGCUUCUUCAUCAUGGCCUAGUUUAUCAACGUUCCUCCUCAGACAAGGUGACCAGAAUUGCUGAGACUCUUUAGAUGUGCUCUGAAAUGCCCUCAUCGUACAAAAUGAAUAACAG
This is a long non-coding RNA of Canis lupus familiaris (dog), 447 nucleotides long. RefSeq lists it as uncharacterized. The record is from RefSeq and is a predicted model, not a curated record. The transcript is spliced from 3 exons. Lineage: Eukaryota; Metazoa; Chordata; Mammalia; Carnivora; Canidae.